This is a long non-coding RNA of Sapajus apella (tufted capuchin), 804 nucleotides long. RefSeq lists it as uncharacterized. The record is from RefSeq and is a predicted model, not a curated record. The transcript is spliced from 3 exons. NCBI's taxonomy places the organism in Eukaryota, Metazoa, Chordata, Mammalia, Primates, Cebidae.
UGGUCAGGCUGUGUGGGGAAAGGGUGAGACUGCACUGAGAGAUGGGGCCUGCCUCUAGAAGUCACCAAAAGGGGCCAAGACAGCUGCCCAUGAACCCCAAAAGAGCCUGAGGCAGGAAAAUUGAAGUAGCUGUGGGGUGGCUACAAGCAGGGCAGCCUCAGACCAUGUGACAGUGACCCUACUCGGCUGUCACCAGGGCCUCCCAGGCCAGGUUCUGCCUCAGGCUGGCAAGAAAAACCUCCAACAUGUAACAUGACAGUCAGGCCCACAGAGCUGACUUCUGCACAAGAGAUCACAUAGGCCUUUCUGACACAUAAGAAUUUCUGGGAAGCUUCCAUGAGGCUUCAACCAUAACACAUGGUUGCUUCAACUUAUUUAGAUAACCUAAUUGUCAAGUUAUUCAUAAACAUUACCAUAUUCCUCAGAGUUGCCCACUUCACAUGGUUGCUGUGGGGUUAAGUGCUUCAACACAUGUGAAGUAUAAAACCUGUGACUGGAAUGCAGUGAGCUAUUGUCACCAUCUCCCCAAACAUCAGAGAACUGUAAGUGAGCUGCACAGCCCACAUACACAUCUUUGUAUUUUAGCUCAUCUUUAAACUUAACACAAAGACAGGGAAAAAACUGAGCAAAUAUUUGACAAACUAAAAUUCCAAUUUACCUUGAAAACCUUCUUGAGAAUCGUUUUACUUGCAUGCUUGCUUCUAGAGCACUACGACAAAGCCUGGAACAUUUAUAACCCUUUUUGUUACAUCAAUCAGUCGCGGACAAAGACCCACUCUGGUUAAGUCCCUUACCUCCAGGCAU